This 856-nucleotide ribosomal RNA is filed under the name uncultured bacterium. RNAcentral's name for it is "bacterial SSU rRNA". It matches the Rfam family "Bacterial small subunit ribosomal RNA", at positions 503 to 1362 of the family's 1533-position model. The record is from RNAcentral.
CCGUGCCAGCAGCNGCGGUAAUACNGAGGGUGCAAGCGUUAAUCGGAAUUACUGGGCGUAAAGCGCGCGUAGGUGGCUUGAUAAGCCGGUUGUGAAAGCCCCGGGCUCAACCUGGGAACGGCAUCCGGAACUGUCAGGCUAGAGUGCAGGAGAGGAAGGUAGAAUUCCCGGUGUAGCGGUGAAAUGCGUAGAGAUCGGGAGGAAUACCAGUGGCGAAGGCGGCAUUCUGGACUGACACUGACACUGAGGUGCGAAAGCGUGGGUAGCAAACAGGAUUAGAUACCCUGGUAGUCCACGCCGUAAACGAUGUCGACCAGCCGUUGGGUGCCUAGCGCACUUUGUGGCGAAGUUAACGCGAUAAGUCGACCGCCUGGGGAGUACGGCCGCAAGGUUAAAACUCAAAUGAAUUGACGGGGGCCCGCACAAGCGGUGGAGCAUGUGGUUUAAUUCGAUGCAACGCGAAGAACCUUACCUACCCUUGACAUCGACAGAAGCCGAGAGAGAUCUUGGUGUGCCUUCGGGAACUGUCAGACAGGUGCUGCAUGGCUGUCGUCAGCUCGUGUUGUGAAAUGUUGGGUUAAGUCCCGUAACGAGCGCAACCCUUGUCCUUAUUUGCCAGCGCGUAAUGGCGGGAACUCUAAGGAGACUGCCGGUGACAAACCGGAGGAAGGUGGGGACGACGUCAAGUCAUCAUGGCCCUUACGGGUAGGGCUACACACGUGCUACAAUGGCCGGUACAAAGGGCAGCGAGCUCGCGAGAGUCAGCGAAUCCCUUAAAGCCGGUCUCAGUCCGGAUCGGAGUCUGCAACUCGACUCCGUGAAGUCGGAAUCGCUAGUAAUCGGAAUCAGAAGCCGU